Long non-coding RNA from Osmerus eperlanus (European smelt), 1737 nucleotides. RefSeq lists it as uncharacterized. The record is from RefSeq and is a predicted model, not a curated record. Lineage: Eukaryota; Metazoa; Chordata; Actinopteri; Osmeriformes; Osmeridae. The transcript is spliced from 2 exons.
UCAACCUUUACUCAUUCCAGAGGUCCAUAGUUCAUAUUUGUUUAUAAAGCACGUCAAUACUUCGAUACCACAAUCCUUUUAGGCUGAUCUAUUAAUCAUUUCAAGCUUUUUUCUUUUCUCUGUUUGACCAGCUGAGUCGCCUGUCUCCUGCUUCCAGCAGCAGGGUCAAGUUCAUUUCCCAGUGACUCAUCCCUGUGGUCUGGAGAGUGGAUCAAGGAGCGACUGAGCCUUCCAGAACAGAUGAAGUGAGAUGGAGGUUAAGAUGCAAGGCUCAGAUUUGAGGCUGAGAUUGAAAGGCUUCAGGGGAGCUGUUGGAUUCAGAGGGUGUGUUUGCUAUUUGUCGCAUGGACCGAGGCGUAUUCUAUGUGAGUAUUAACAGAUUGCUUUGAGGUUCGUGAAUGCAGAUGGCGGAGAGAGACAGACAUGGAGAUGAGAAAUGUUAUUUUCAGUGAGGGCUGUGAAGAUGGGUGGGCUGAGACUCCAUGUCCUGUUUCAUUAAAGGAGAGAGAAGGGGCUCCACUCAUCAUGGUCAUGAAGUGAGAAGUGUAUUCUUUUGCAAAGACCCCAAUCAGUUCAUCCACUAAUUCAUCCUUUAGUCCAUCCAUCUAUCCAUCCAUCCACUUCGGGAGAAUUGUCAGGCCGAUUUGGAGUCUGAGAAUUUCAUAUUUAUUUGCAUGGCUUAAUGAUUUACAUGCAGCUCCAGGGGGUUACACUAAGCAGAGUCGGACUCUCCUCCCACAGUCAGCCUUCGUUAAGGGGAGGUAGGCAAGAGAUGGUCCAGAUACGGGUCCAAACGCUGGGCCGGUCCCUGGUGUCCACACACUCUUCAUCUGACUGCAUUGGUCCUGACAAGCUCAUAUAUGGUUACCAUUACCAAUGCAUGUUAAGACUUGUCCUUUUUCCACUCGUGUUGUGUCUGCUCUCAAUGCAAAGACUCAGAGGGUCGAGGACAACAGACUGUGUUGACACCAUAUCUGUGUUUUGAGACACAUUACUUUUUAUGGAUAUACUGUAUAUGUGUGUGUGCAUGUGUGUAUACCCACAUUGUUGAGAAAAUCUGAGCUGCAAGCUUUAAAAUAAGUAUCUGUAACCAUGACUAUGCUUUUGGUGCAGGAAUAACCAGAAUUUGAACUGUGAAACUCUCCUUCAAAUCCAAUGGGUACAGUGUUGGCUUUAGCUCAGUGUGCUAGCUGACAGAGGUCUUGUGACUACAUUUUUUGUAUUUUAACCCAGUUAGUCAACUGAUGUGCAGAGCACUGCAAGAGUUCCCAGUGCCUAUAAAUGUACCAAAUUUGGUGUGAACAGCAGAGGAAAGCUGUAGUCAGACAACAAUAUUGGUCUUUGGCUUGACUGCAUACUUGUAUGGAAUAAAUUAUGUGUAACUUGUGUAAGUUGGUUACCCAGACUGAGUGAUUCAAAAUCAUAUGAUUCCCUAAAUUGAGAGAUAUUACAAAGAGCCACAUUGUUAGUAUUUCAAACCACUAUUUAUAGUCAAUGUUUUUUACUUAUAAAUUCUGUAUAGAACAUCAAAGCCAAAAAUAUAUAUUUUUAGGUUAUGAAAUUCUUUUACUGGUUCCAUUUGCCAUUUGCUUUCAACUUCAAUUUAUCACCUCCAAAUUCUUUUUUUUACAAAAGUCAACAAAUGUUCUCAUGAUUUUUAUAACACCAACUGUCAUUUUGUCCUAUAGAACUGUCAGUAAAACUAAAGAAAGACAAAUGAAGAGUUUGUGACAGAGA